Molecule: ribosomal RNA, 254 nt
Filed under: uncultured bacterium
Lineage: Bacteria
Description: partial 16S ribosomal RNA
Rfam family: Bacterial small subunit ribosomal RNA
Source: RNAcentral
UACGGAGGAUCCAAGCGUUAUCCGGAAUCAUUGGGCGUAAAGAGCUCGUAGGCGGUCUGUCGCGUCGGUCGUGAAAACUUGGGGCUUAACCCCGAGCUUGCGGUCGAUACGGGCAUGACUGGAGUUCGGCAGGGGAGACUGGAAUUCCUGGUGUAGCGGUGAAAUGCGCAGAUAUCAGGAGGAACACCGGUGGCGAAGGCGGGUCUCUGGGCCGAUACUGACGCUGAGGAGCGAAAGCGUGGGGAGCAAACAGG